Vicugna pacos (alpaca) is the source of this 17874-nucleotide non-coding RNA. The record is from RefSeq and is a predicted model, not a curated record. Lineage: Eukaryota; Metazoa; Chordata; Mammalia; Artiodactyla; Camelidae.
AAAGCCAAGAUGGACGCGUGCAUUUGAACGUCUCUCCUGAGUGGCUCUCCUGCACGCCUGCCUGUCGUUAGCAGUCGUGUUCGCAGCUGCUACCCAUUCUUCCUCCGGAUUAGGGGAGGGAGAGGGGAUGAGAAGCUGCGGCGGCUAAGGAGUCAUCGUGACUGACCCCGCCGCUACCCUUGGGCCCCCUCGGCCCCCGCGCCUCCGGGGAGUAGCCGGGGCUCGCCGCGCCUGACGCGUCCCGAGUUACACAGGUGCGGGCUCAGGCCCGGUGGUUCAUCGCGUGUCCCGUGGCCCUCUCACCCGCCCCAAGGCCUACCCGUGCCCGCUGACCCGGAGGACUGGGAGCCCAGGGGCGGGCUCUGAGCGCGCGCCACAGCCAAGGGGGCCCCGGCUUGAGGGCUAGGCUUUCCGCGGUGCACCUCCCGGCUGACUUCCCGAGCCAAACGCGCUGCCCCAUGUGGGCCUCCGCUUCUGAAUGGGCCCUUUGCCCCUGUGACAGGAUUUUUCUGAGGCCCAGGCUCUUGAUCUGUUGGUUUCACCUAACCCUAAAGAGACCGAGGACAUUCUGCCUUUUUGCGGAGCCUCUACUCAAGAAAUAAUGUUGAUAUUUGGAACCCAUGUCGAACUUCUAUGAAGAAAGGGCAACAAUGAUUGCAGCCAGGGAUUUGCAGGAAUUUGUUCCUUUUGGUCGAGACCACUGCAAGCACCAUCCUAAUGCUUUGAACCUUCAGCUUCGCCAGCUGCAGCCAGCCUCUGAGUUAUGGUCUUCUGAUGGCGCUGCUGGCUUGGUGGGAUCCCUUCAAGAGGUUACAAUCCACGAGAAACAGAAGGAAAGCUGGCAGUUAAGGAAAGGCGUAAGUGAAAUUGGAGAAGAAGUGGAUUACGACGAGGAGCUCUAUGUGGCUGGAAAUAUGGUUAUCUGGAGCAAAGGAAGUAAAAGCCAGGCAUUGGCUGUUUAUAAAGCGUUUACAGUUGACAGUCCUGUUCAGCAGGCAUUGUGGUGUGACUUCAUUAUAUCACAGGAUAAGUCUGAAAAGGCCUACAGUAGUGAUGAAGUAGAAAAAUGCAUAUGUAUAUUGCAAAGCUCAUGUAUUAACAUGCAUAGCCUAGAAGGAAAGGAUUACAUAGCUUCUUUGCCUUUUCAGGUAGCAAAUGUUUGGCCCACCAAAUAUGGAUUGCUGUUUGAACGAAGUACUUCUUCACAUGAAGUUCCUCCAGGCCCUCCCAGAGAACCUUUACCCACUAUGUUCAGCAUGCUGCAUCCGCUAGAUGAAAUAACACCACUUGUGUGUAAAUCUGGAAGUCUUUUCGGUUCAUCCCGGGUGCAAUAUGUUGUAGAUCAUGCAAUGAAAAUUGUUUUUCUCAACACUGAUCCCUCCAUUGUAAUGACCUAUGACACUGUUCAAGGUUUGCAUUCUUUGUGGGCUCUUCGGAGAGUCAAAACAGAGGAAGAGAAUGUUGUUUUAAAGUUCUCUGAACAGGGGGGAACGCCACAGAACGUAGCCACCAGCAGCUCCCUGACAGCACACCUCAGAAGCCUGUCCAAGGGAGAGUCCCCCAUGGCUUCACCUUUCCAGAACUACUCCUCCAUCCACAGCCAGAGCCGCUCAGCCUCCUCACCCAGCCUACACUCCCGUUCACCUUCUAUUUCCAACAUGGCAGCUCUCAGUCGUGCUCAUUCUCCUGCCUUAGGAGUGCACUCUUUUUCAGGGGUGCAGAGGUUCAACCUUUCAAGCCAUAAUCAAUCUCCAAAGAGACACAGUAUUUCUCAUUCUCCAACUAGUAAUACUAAUGGCUCCUUUCUCGCACCAGAAACGGAGCCGAUUGUUCCUGAGCUUUGUAUUGACCAUUUGUGGACAGAAACGAUUGCUAAUAUAAGGGAGAAAAAUUCACAGGCCUCCAAAGUCUUUAUUACGUCUGACUUAUGUGGGCAAAAGUUCUUGUGCUUCUUAGUAGAGUCCCAGCUGCAGUUACGAUGUGUAAAGUUUCAAGAGAGUAAUGAUAAAACCCAGCUCAUCUUUGGCUCCAUCACCAACAUACAGGCAAAGGAUGCAGCGCCAGUGGAGAAGAUAGACACUAUGCUGGUCCUGGAAGGCAGUGGAAACCUGGUGCUGUACACAGGAGUGGUUCGGGUGGGAAAGGUGUUUAUUCCUGGGCUGCCAGCUCCUUCCCUGACGAUGUCCAGCACGAUGCCUCGGCCCAGCACUCCGCUGGACAGCAUCAGCACCCCUAACCCUCUGAGGAAGCUGCUUGGAUCCCUGGAUGAGGCUGUUCUGUUGUCCCCAGUUCCAGAACUGAGGGAUUCUUCCAAGCUUCAUGAGUCUCUCUGUAAUGAGGAUUGUACUUUCCAGCAGCUUGGAACGUACAUUCAUUCCAUCAGAGACCCUGUCCACAACAGAGUAACUCUAGAACUGAGUAAUGGCUCCAUGGUUAGGAUCACUAUUCCUGAAAUUGCCACCUCUGAAUUGGUGCAAACGUGUUUGCAAGCAAUUAAGUUUAUCCUGCCAAAAGAAAUAGCUGUUCAGAUGCUUGUCAAGUGGUACAGUGUCCACAGCGCUCCGGGAGGACCCAGUUACCACUCAGAAUGGAAUUUAUUUGUGAUUUGUCUCAUGAACUUGAUGGGUUAUAACACAGACCGCUUAGCCUGGACAAGAAAUUUUGACUUUGAAGGAUCACUUUCCCCAGUCAUUGCACCCAAAAAAGCAAGGCCUUCAGAGACGGGAUCUGAUGAUGACUGGGAGUAUUUGUUAAAUUCAGACUACCACCAGGACGUCGAGUCGCAUCUUUUGAAUCGAUCUUUGUGUUUGAGUCCUUUGGGAGUCCCCCAGGUGAAGGAUGAGGACUUCUCGCAGAAUCUCACUGUGGAUUCUUCUACACUUCUCUUCGCUCACAUACCUGCAAUUUUUUUUGUUCUUCACCUUGUCUAUGAGGAGCUUAAACUGAAUACUCUGAUGGGAGAAGGAAUUCGUUCACUUGUUGAACUUCUCGUUCAGUUGGCAAGGGACUUAAAAUUGGAGCCUUAUGUAGAUCAUUACUAUAGAGAUUAUCCAACACUUGUCAAAACUACUGGGCAAGUGUGCACAGUUGAUCAAGGUCAAACAGGAUUUAUGCAUCAUCCAUCAUUUCUUACUUCUGAGCCACCAAGUAUUUAUCAGUGGGUGAGCUCUUGUUUGAAGGGCGAAGGAAUGCCACCCUAUCCUUACCUCCCUGGAAUUUGUGAAAGAAGCAGACUUGUAGUCUUGAGUAUCGCCCUCUACAUACUUGGUGAUGAAAGCUCUGUUUCUGAUGAAUCCUCACAGUAUCUAUCCAGAAUAACUAUAACCCCCCAGAAGUCACAAGCAGAACAAGAGGAGAACAGGUUUAGUUUCAGGCAUUCCACACCAGUUUCGAGUCUAGCUGAGAGAUUAGUUGUCUGGAUGACUAACGUAGGUUUCACUUUAAGAGACUUGGAAACUCUUCCCUUUGGAAUUGCUCUCCCCAUCAGAGAUGCGAUUUAUCACUGCCGGGAGCAGCCUGCUUCAGACUGGCCAGAAGCUGUCUGUCUCUUGAUUGGACGUCAGGAUCUCUCCAAGCAGGCCUGCGAAGGAAACUUGCCCAAAGGGAAAUCUGUGCUCUCAUCAGAUGUUCCUUCAGGAACAGACACUGAGGAGGAGGAUGAUGGCAUGAAUGACAUGAAUCAGGAGGUGAUGUCAUUAAUAUGGAGUGAAGAUUUAAGGGUGCAGGACGUGCGACGGCUCCUUCAAAGUGCACAUCCUGUGCGUGUCAAUGUGGUGCAGUACCCGGAACUCAGUGACCACGAGUUCAUCGAGGAAAAAGAAAACAGAUUGCUCCAGUUGUGUCAGCGAACUAUGGCUCUUCCUGUAGGACGAGGAAUGUUUACCUUGUUUUCGUAUCAUCCUGUUCCAACGGAACCAUUGCCUAUUCCCAAGUUAAAUUUGACUGGGCGAGCCCCUCCUCGGAACACAACAGUAGACCUGAACAGUGGAAACAUCGACGUGCCUCCCAACAUGACAAGCUGGGCCAGCUUCCACAAUGGCGUGGCUGCCGGCCUGAAGAUAGCCCCUGCCUCCCAGAUCGACUCAGCUUGGAUUGUUUACAAUAAGCCCAAGCACGCUGAGUUAGCCAAUGAGUAUGCUGGCUUUCUCAUGGCCCUGGGUCUGAAUGGGCACCUCACCAAGCUGGCUACUCUCAAUAUCCACGACUACUUGACCAAGGGUCAUGAAAUGACGAGCAUCGGACUGCUGCUUGGUGUUUCUGCGGCUAAACUAGGCACCAUGGAUAUGUCAAUUACACGGCUUCUCAGCAUUCACAUUCCUGCUCUCCUACCCCCGACGUCCACGGAGCUCGACGUGCCUCACAACGUCCAGGUGGCUGCAGUGGUUGGCAUCGGCCUCGUGUAUCAGGGGACAGCUCACAGGCACACUGCAGAAGUCUUGUUGGCCGAAAUAGGCAGGCCCCCUGGUCCUGAGAUGGAAUACUGCACUGACAGAGAGUCUUACUCUUUAGCUGCUGGCUUGGCCUUGGGCAUGGUUUGCUUGGGGCACGGCAGUAAUCUGAUAGGGAUGUCUGAUCUCAACGUGCCUGAGCAGCUUUAUCAGUACAUGGUUGGAGGCCACAGGCGCUUUCAAGCAGGGAUGCACCGGGAGAAACAUAAAUCUCCAAGUUAUCAAAUCAAAGAAGGAGACACCAUAAAUGUGGAUGUAACUUGUCCAGGUGCCACUCUGGCUUUGGCUAUGAUCUACUUGAAAACCAAUAACAGAUCCAUUGCAGAUUGGCUCCGAGCUCCUGACACUAUGUAUUUGCUGGACUUUGUGAAGCCAGAAUUUCUCUUGCUUAGGACACUUGCUCGAUGCCUGAUUUUGUGGGAUGAUAUUUUACCAAAUUCCAAGUGGGUCGAUAGCAACGUUCCUCAAAUUAUAAGAGAAAAUAGUAUCUCUCUCAGUGAAAUUGAAUUGCCUUGCUCAGAGGAUUUGAAUUUGGAAACUUUGUCGCAAGCACAUGUCUACAUAAUUGCAGGAGCUUGUUUGUCUCUGGGUUUUCGAUUUGCUGGCUCAGAAAACUUAUCAGCAUUUAACUGCUUGCAUAAAUUUGCAAAAGAUUUUAUGACUUAUUUGUCUGCGCCUAAUGCUUCUGUGACAGGUCCUUACAACCUGGAGACUUGCCUGAGUGUGGUGCUGCUGUCUCUGGCCAUGGUGAUGGCCGGCUCAGGGAACCUAAAGGUUUUGCAGCUCUGUCGCUUCUUGCACAUGAAGACCGGUGGUGAAAUGAACUACGGUUUCCACCUAGCCCAUCACAUGGCCCUUGGACUUCUGUUUUUGGGAGGAGGAAGGUACUCGUUGAGCACGUCAAACUCUUCCAUUGCCGCCCUGCUCUGUGCCCUGUACCCGCACUUCCCAGCUCACAGCACUGACAACCGGUAUCAUCUCCAGGCUCUCCGGCACCUGUACGUGCUGGCUGCAGAACCAAGACUUCUGGUGCCCGUGGAUGUGGACACCAACACGCCCUGCUAUGCCCUCUUAGAAGUCACCUAUAAGGGCACUCAGUGGUAUGAACAGACCAAAGAAGAGUUGAUGGCUCCUACCCUUCUUCCAGAACUCCACCUUUUAAAACAGAUUAAAGUUAAAGGCCCACGAUACUGGGAACUGCUCAUAGAUUUAAGCAAGGGGACACAGCACUUGAAGUCAAUUCUGUCCAAGGAUGGGGUUUUAUAUGUCAAGCUCAGAGCGGGUCAGCUCUCCUACAAGGAAGAUCCGAUGGGAUGGCAGAGCUUGUUGGCCCAGACCGUUGCCAACAGGAACUCCGAAGCUCGGGCUUUCAAGCCUGAAACGAUUUCAGCGUUCACUUCUGAUCCAGCACUUCUGUCGUUUGCUGAGUAUUUCUGCAAACCAACUGUGAACAUGGGUCAGAAACAGGAAAUUCUGGAUCUCUUUUCUUCAGUGCUGUAUGAAUGUGUGACUCAGGAGACCCCAGAGAUGUUGCCGGCAUACAUAGCGAUGGAUCAGGCUGUGAGAAGACUGGGAAGAAGAGAAAUGUCCGAGACGUCUGAACUCUGGCAGAUAAAGUUGGUGUUAGAGUUUUUCAGCUCCAGAAGCCACCAGGAGCGGCUGCAGAACCACCCGAAACGAGGGCUCUUUAUGAGCUCGGAGUUCCUCCCUGUGGUGAAGUGCACUGUUGACAACGCUCUGGACCAGUGGCUGCAAGCUGGGGGUGACGUGUGUGUGCACGCCUACCUCAACGGGCAGCCCUGUGGGGAAGCGCAGCUGAGCAUGCUGGCCUGUUUCCUCGUCUACCACUCGGUGCCGGCUCCACGGCACCUGCCAUCUAUCGGCCUGGAAGGGAGCACGAGCUUUGCGGAGCUCCUCUUCAAAUUUAAACAGCUGAAGAUGCCCGUGCGCGCUUUGCUGAGAUUGGCGCCUUUGCUUCUUGGAAAUCCACAGCCAAUGGUCAUGUGAUCAUGUCUGGUGGUAAGCCUACCCUGAAACAUGACUUCUGCACAAAAGCGUGACCAAACAACAAAGCUAAAGGGACAUUUAUAAGUUUUAUAAUAUAGCUGGGAGGAAGUGACCUGCACAAACCUUAAUCUAAAUGUUUUAAAUAUCCCAGAGACUCUGUUGCUGUCGGCAUUAACAUUAUAUGGUAUAUAACAGUGAGUUAAAAUUUACUUUUGUAAAUAAAAUUCUUUGGUUUGAUUUCAAAACUCUGGAUGAUUAGUUUGGGGUUUCAGAGAAUAGACCAGUCUGCUGGGAUGGAUAUUGGUUUUUUAAGUCUUCCAGCUAUGGUGAUUCAGGUGAAGUGACUUUAUGCACAAAAAUGCGAAGUUUUUAAAGAAGCCCUGUCAUAAAGUUUUACUUUCUGCAGCAGCAAAAACCCUUGUUGCAUUUUCUAAGGUGUCACCAUUACCUGGUCAGAAGUAAGUUUGUACUUCCUGUAAUGGUGCCAGACAUCCCCAUAGUGUGAUCAAUUGUCUUGAAAAGGAGAUUUAUACUAUAAUGAAGAGUUGCCCAACACGAAGCCUGCUCUAAAUAGAGAAAAUAUGAAAUUUCCACUCCAGAGAGGUCUUCAGAAAUUGUAUUUUUAAAUAAAAGACAGUUCAUUUUCACUCACGAUUUUGAGAACGUACGUGUGUGUCGGGCUCCUGGACUAGACGAUGACGAAGGUAUUCAUGUACAGGUGUGUCCAACCUCAGAUUUCCAGUCCAGGAAGAGGGCGGCUCCGUGCUGCCCUGAUUCUGACGUGCACCUGUGUGUCCUGAAUGGCCGGUGGGGCCGUAAACUGGUAGAAGCUGCAAGGCCCAUCCAGUGAUUUCAUGUUUCCGCAUCCUGAACUGUGGGGUUUAGCUUUAAAAGUAAAAAUUAAGGCAAACAGAGAUGUUUCCAUUGAGAUCCUGACAAAAACCAAUGUGACAUUUGCUUCUGCAAAGGGGGCUCGUGUCUGGAAGGCAGACGUCUUGAGUCAGUGGUUCUCGUCAGACCCACCUGUGCCCCGCCGGGGACUUGCCCUUGCUUGUGACACGUCAGCAGAGUGGCUGAUUGGGAGAAAGAAAUGUGCUUCCCUUCACACUUACAUAAUUUUUCUUCUGCUUAAUAGAGAAAAGUUAAAAUGGUAGAUUAUGGGAGGUCCAUGUGAAUCAGGAUAUGAAGAGCUCAGUAUGUGGGCAACUUGCUAUCUUCACUCUUCCUGGUUUAUAAUUUGUAAGCCCUUCUCUGAUGGAAGAAUGACUUGAGUUAUUUGCACACAUCUGAAUGAGCAUGUGUGAGGGAGAACAGUCAUUAGAAUGUUGUCAACAAGAGCAGAACUGAGGCCGCAGGAGGGGGAGAGCAGGAGAGGCAUGCAGGUGGCCUGCGAACAGCCUUGUCUUUAUACUUGGGGCCUGCUGAGGGGCAAGGAGGGUCUCCUGGACAGUCUGCUCUUGAGCAGACGUGCUAGGUUCAUGGAAGAAGUCAGUGCAGCCCUGUGUGGGCACUCGAGAAAUCUUGAGAGUGUAGUUCUCACCAUCCAGAACAUUUUAGCCUCCCCACAGCCGUGGCAGGGGAAGAGCUGGAGAAGUGCCUCCGGCUCUUAGUGUUUUGGCCCAGGAGUGGCACAGGCCCCGUCCGCUUUCGGCCUGUGGGCGCAGAGUAGUCAAACUGGUCCACCCCCUAAGUGCUCUUCCACAAAGGGGAGAGCCAGACACUGGUCAGUGCUAGUAACGUCUGUCACGGUAUGACUCUUGACUGACUGGGAAUUCCUUCCAGCCAGCUUUUCUACUUACACAGCUGGAAAUGGACAGAAUUAAAGAACUAGUGCCAUCACACACACUCAGCACUCGGAGAGGGUGGCCCUGCUUCCCUGAUGGAUGCUGGCACCUGUGCUCCUCCGCUGGGGGUCUUGCCAAGGAGUGUGGGCGUGAACGUGUGGGCAGUUCUGAGGCAGAGACCCCUGGCCUUAGCAGGAGGACACUACUGGGUUAAGCCCUACAAAACUUCUCCUUGGUGCUGUCUAAUCUUCCCUGAGUGAGGCCUCUUUCUCACUCUUUGUCUAGAAACCAGCUGACUGCACAGCUUAUGGAGAGGGGCAUGUCCCAGCUGAGGGGACCUCCUGACAUCCUAGAGGAGGCAAGCAGGAGGGGAGCUCUCGUCUCUCAGCCCGAUGAUCAGUGUGCAGACCCACUUGGCGGGAGGCCGAUGAGCCUGCUGGGCAGACCAGGCCAGAGUGUGGGGGCCGGGAUUUGGAGUGGAAGCCAGAGAAUGGGAGCUGAGGCCGGAGCUGUCAGAGGAGUGGAUUUGUGCUGAUUCCAAGGGAAGCACAUGCCAAAGCCCAGGCUGAGGGGCGGGAGUGGGCCAGGCUGGUAGGGGAUAUCGGGAGCUGAGUGAAACUGAAGGCCCUGGACCAGUCUGAGACCAAAGCAGGAAGUCUUUGUUGCCUCCUUCAUACAGGGUUGAGGGCCCCUCUUCUGGGUUCCCCAGCCUCAUACUGACCAAAUGUGGAAAAUGCCUCACUGCAUGAAGAUCUCUCCAGUUAAGUAAGCUCUGAGGGAGGGGAUAGGAUUUGGUCACCUCUGUACCCCUAAUGUCUGCAGUUUCCAGCCAGCAGUCGAGGGAAGCAGAGGUGAGGUCAGAGAAGCAGCUACUGCAGAGGGUGUCCCCAGGCUGGAGGCCUCCCUCGGCCCCCAGCCUGUACUGGGCAGGUUCUGCCUGCUCUACAGAGUUCCCAGGUGAUGUCUUUUCCUGCUGCCAAGGCCAGGUCCCCUGUACUCAGAAAUACAUUGGUUGCUUCUCAUUACAGUCACAAGCUUCAGAAGUCUUUUUUGGUUAAAUUUUUUAAAAAAUCCCUGGAACAUCCUUGAUUUUUGCCCGUGGAUGACUUGCCUGUUGGUCACCCUCUUGCUCUGCUCCAUCUCAUGUCCUUGAGUGAAGGUGAGGCUGGGAUGGGGAGUGGGGGCUGCUCCAAGGGCAGGACUUUCAGACUUCUGACGAGCAUGACCCAGAUCAGGCAGCUGCACCGGAAGCUCCCUCAGGCAGCAUCUGGUCCUGCCCCUUGUUCUACAGCCCAAACCCUGCGGCUCAGGGAGGGAGGUAGCUGGCCCCGGGCCACCCCGCUCCCCAUCGCAACCCUAACAAGCUUGGGGUCCCAGACCACACUGUUUCUACCCAAGAACCUGGUCCCUUCCUGCCUUUCUUCUUGGUCCAGUAGAUGCUCAGGAAGAGGCAGAUUUAACGUAAGUUACGAGGACGUUGCACCAGGCAGAGUUUAUGAACUCCUUUAAAAAGCAAAUUGAUUCUUCCUUUCUCUGUGCAUCUUUAGAAAAACGAAGACUUCUGUGUAAUUUCUUGGAAUUAGGUUAAUUGAAUAGUCUGUGUGUUGCUUUCUUGGUUUUAUAACAACAAUCUCAAUUAAAAUUUUAGCUAAAAGUAUUUCUUUCAUGGUACAUUAGAAUAUGAAACAGGAAAUUUAGGAAAAGAAUUAACUUUAUACUAAGUUUAGUGAAAAUCUGACAUCCUUAAUUUCCACUGCUUUUACUCCAGUACUCAGGUGUGAAGUCUGUUGCCUCAUGUCUGUGGUUAACGGUGCCAUCCUGAGUCUUGUGCAGGCGCAGUGCCUUGUGAAGCUGUAGACCAUGUGCUCUGAGCGCCUAGACAUGCUGGAUCCUGAUCUGGGGAGUCACGUGGGGAGGGGGGACUCAUCACAGGGACAGUGGCUGGAAGCUGGUUAGUGCCACUUGUGUUUCGUUCACUUGUGUUUAUUUCUGUGCGUAUCUUCCACUUACUAAGAAUAUUUUCAGUUUGCUUACUGUACCAUUUCAGAGAUUAAGAAAAUAUUUUGGGUGAAUGUGUGUAACUCUGGAGUUGAAGAAAGCAUCAUCCACAAAUCCACUGUAACCAGCAUCCCUGGCUGCGGUUUCCUGCCCCAUAAGAUCUAAAUGGGCUGCGCUCCAGCCCUCACGUGUUAAAAUCUCUGCAAAUCCCAGAGGAGGGCGUCUGUCAUCUCCCUGCAGACUCCCUGUGCCGCACAGGUACACCUGUGGUCAUCCCCUGUGUCCUUUGUGGGGGCUGGGUGUCACCUUAGCAUUUUCACCUCCUCUUCUGUCUCCUCGGCUUCCACCUGUGCUUCCCACGUGGGGCCAGGUGAUAGUGCCAGGGCGGUGCCAGCGAGAGGCGCCCCUGCACAGCCCGGAGGUGGCAGGGGCGGCGGAACCGUUACAGGCAGACGCAGGGCACGGAGUGCACCCUGGCUGCAGGGCCUUCAUACCAGCUCUGGCUGGUGCACCCCAUUCUGCAGGUUUGCUGGGGCUUCUCCAUCCUCUGCUCCAAAACCCCUUCCACCUGCUUCCUUUUAUCAGCAUCCUUUCUGCUUGGGUUCCCGAGCAAACCCUCUGAUGCCUUGGUGGGGUGUAAUGACCCAGAUGUGAACAGAGUCCAUCCCCGAGUCCCCACUCCUCAGCCUCCCCUGGACUUUGCCUGUGGAGUUUCCAGCGCUCGGUUAUCCUCUCUGAGCUCUCACUGCUAUUUGCCUGCCUUUUCCAUGAUCAAACCCUCAGUUGUUCUCUGAAACCCUCAGAUUUCUUUGUAAUCUUGUAACCCCUGCACUAACUUCCCCGAUGGCACCAACCUCAGAGCUGCGGUGGCAGUGACUCCCUGAGUGGCCUUAGGUUCCCCCAAUGUGCUGAGGGGACUCACGGACUCAAGGAAGAAUGGGCAGUCUUCUAGCUGAGAAACUGGAACGCUGUCGGGUUGGCCCUGUUUGUGUCAGAAUUCCCUGGACUGAGUCACUGGUGUGUGGAUGGGGACAGUGUGUCCCCUGGGCCCUGUUGGCUUUGGGUCUGCCCCUCAGCGGCUGCCCUGGGGAGAGGACCAGCCCUUAGCACAACUGCUUCCACCUCGACCUUCUGCCACACUGGGUGUCACGGACUGCAAGUCCUGUGAUUGCAGCUGGGAGGGUCAGGGACUCAAAGGAAAUGCUAAACCCUCAUGGGAUAAAGCUGAAAAGAGUUUUUUUUUUUACAAAAUCAACUGUUCUGUGAGGUUCCUGGCAACCUGGUCAGAAAUUUCGUGGAGAAAUUAGACAUUUCCAUGGGAAAAAGGAGGUGAAGAGCUAGACUGUGUCUGGCAGUUGCUGUUUUUACCCAAUAAUACUGUAGAGCAGCUGCCCAGUAAUAAACCUUCCUGUCUAAAAUAGCUGUGCAAAAAGAUCGCUGUAAACCCUGAGCAUUACUGAGCAAAUCAAGCUGCAGUGGACCAGCCCAGGCCCCGGGAUGGCCUUCAACUCUGGGCACCUGCCCUCAGGCCCCCCCACCCUCACCCCAAGUGACCUUCCCAGUCUGUCUGCAGGAUUUUGAGCCUUAAUUUUCCUAAUUUUCCUUCCUUGGUGUAAAAAUCACAAUCCGUACGCUGAGUUGAGGGUGUGUCUAUUGUUAGCACCUCUGAGUGAGUUAAGGAUAAUCCUACACACCGCACAGCUGGGUUUUGCUUUGUGAUUCAGUCUGAAGAUCUUUUUCUUUCAGCAAUGAGUUCAGAUUUAUUAAUACAAAUAAUAUGACCUGAGUUGUCUCUUAAUUUUUAUAUUCUUACAUUAUAUUUAUACUGUACUUCUUGUAUUUACUGGGUAUCUUUAUUUGGUCUAUUUGCUCUGCUCUCAAAAAUGUGUGGUCGUCGUGACCUCUGGCAUUUAGGAUGGCUUGUGUUCUUGUGACUGCAUUCGACGUAUGACUUCUUCACAUGUUACUGUCUUCAUGGGACUCCUCGAGUCCUCCUUUUCCUUACCUCGGCUUCCACUGUCCUGUUUCCAGCUUUGAUGGCACAUGGUGCCCCCCUGGCACCAUUCAUGAGCUCCCCCUUCUCUCUCCCUCCUCUCAGUUUGGAAGUUGGGUUAUGUCUGUAAUGCCAGAGUGAACAAUGGCGUAUGAUCUCCCACCUUCUAUUCGACUGUGUCAGCCUUGGUCGGCCCACCAGGGUGCUCCAUGCCUUCCGUUAGUCCUUUGGCUGAAAUUGUCCAUCUCUUCUCUGGGUGAGGCUGCUGUCUAGCAGACUGCCAGGAAGGCCUCCGAGUACAGCUGUCCCUGAAAUGCUCCUUGUCCUCCUGUCUUUUUACCACCUUCUGGUCACCUUUGGAUUCUUCUCAGGUUCCUCUCCUUGGUGGUCCAGGCCUCUUCCUGGACUCUCUCCGUGCCUUCUCCCUCUCCCCAUCCUCAGUCUCUGUAGAGGCUCCUGCUCUGGUCUCGUGGCUCCCUGGGCUGCCUCCUCCAUGUUACUGCUAGACCCUUCCAGGGAAUUCAGGAGUCAGGGCCUUUGUGGGCUGACACCCCUGGAAGGCUGGGGGCCGGUUUCAGCACUCCAGGUUCAGGCUGCUGUGGUCCAGGCUCUCCAGGCACCUCUGUCCUGCAGGUCUGAGGAGAGCUGGAGGCUCAGUGCUGUCUGUCUUCAGCUGCCUGGAGCCUGGGAAGGAGGCAGCCUCUCAGCGGGGGAGGGGGAGGCAGAAGGGGAGGAGGAGGAGUGGGCGGGAGCUACGAGAAAAGAGAGGAAGUGCCAUCAGAGUGACAGGCAGCACCACAAGGUGCACAGAGGACAGGGGCUCCGACCUCAGGGAAAUCAGCUGUCACCCCCAUUGCUCUCUCGAGUGACCAGACCCAAGAGGGGCCCCAGCAACUGACAUUUUUCUUUUCUUUUAUUGUGAUAAAAAUACUAUUUUCUUUGGAAUUUUAAGGCUCUUGAUAUACAAAGUGGGAGUAUGUAGUCCUGACAUAUUCUUGGUCCUCAAAUAAAAAACUGGGUGAAUGAAACUUAUAUCAAAGUUGGUUUAUCUCAAAACACACUUGACCUGCUUUCCUCUCUUCUUUCUCCUGGGGUCAGAACGAGCCCCGUCACCCCCUGCAGCGAGGGGCUCAGCUCACAGGAUUGCUCUAGUGCAACCGUCUGCCCAAGCAGGGUGUUCCUGAUCCAUUUCAGUGAAGGACUCCCUCCGCUUCAAGUAAAUCCGCACACAAACACUAAAUUUGAGCCAAAGAAAACAAAUGCUGGAGCGUGAUGCUAGUCAGGUGCUAGGUUUCUAUAAAUGUCUUGUCUGCCAUGUGCUUCCACACAGUUCUGCAUGUGUGCUUGUUUCCUUUACUUUCCAGCAAUUUUAUUUGUUCAGAGACUCGAGAGCUCUAGGAGCUCCGUCCGUCCAUGGUGACCCUAGACCCUGACACAUCCUUCAGGGACGCAGCUCAGGGGAGCUUGCAUCAAGCGGGAGCAAAACACACAAGACUUCUGAUGACGUGUUGGAAUUACUCUUUCUCUUUUUUCCCCAAGAGCCACCAUGGUAACAGCUCCUUUUCCAGAAAGGAUGACCUCAGUGUUUUUCAUGUAUUUAUAUUUAAAAAUUUCAACUCAGAUCAAAACCCUGCAGAGAUUUUCAUUACUUAGAUCAGCAUGUCCAAGAGUUUUCCUAAAAAAAAAAAAAGAAAAAGAAGUUGAUAUGCAAAUUGGGACCUCAGACAUGGUUCCAUAAUCAAAUCCAUUUGAAGAAUUUUGAAAUCAACACAGUAAUUACUUUCUGUGCCAGGGGAGGUCUCAGAGCCCUUACUCUGCUAGCAAUACAUUAAGGGAUGCAGUGGCGCUUCCUCCAGUCCUGGAGGUGACUGCACUCACCUGGACCCCCUGCAGCCCCCACUCCAUUCCUUGGGGACCUAGGGGGUGCAUUGGCGCACCCGACUCCAGACCCAGUGAUUUGGGUUCUGGGCCUGGAUCUGAAAGGGAAGCACCGCAGGGUGAGCACUUGGAGGAAGGGCCCAGCCCCACGACUGCUGGGGUGCCCCUGCCUCAUCCCCGACAGGCCUCACCCCCGACAGACCUCCUCACACAGCUCCAGGGUGACCCAGGCUCGGUGCCCCAUCGCGUGGAAGAAUUCCACCUUCAGCUUGAGGAACUCCUUGUAGAGGUCUGGCCAGUGCUCCCUGCCGAGCAGGAACUGGAAGAUGCUCCGCUUGGACGUGGGGUUGUCCUCCUCCAUGUCGGAGGCGAUGUAGCUGCCACCGAGACAAGAGGGCAGGCUGGUCCCAGCCCCAGUGAGGGCUCCCAGCCUCAGGGUACCGAGGUCACCCCGGAGGAACCAGGGCUUGAGGCGGUAUAUCCAGGAGAGGGGGCCCAGGGAAUCCCCAUCACCUGGGGGACCCGGGUCCAGAGGAGGCAAGACCAUCCUCAGCACCAAGCCCGCCAGGCCCCAAGCAUGCUGUGCCGGGCCCAGGCCAGUGUUCUGGCUGUCAUCGUUUCCUUGGGGUUUUCCCGCUUAGGUCACUUGGUCUCUGGGCAGCAAGUGGUUUUCCCUGGCCCUGUUCAUUAUCCCGUGAACCAACUCAUUGCCUGCCCUGCCCUGACCACGUGACCCCUGAAGGCCUUGUCUGCUCUGGGCCAAGGGGAACCACCACUGGGGACCCUUCCAGGCACAUUGGCCAAGCUGUCUGUCGGGACAGGGAAGCUGGACUGGGGGACUGGGGCAGAAGUGAAAGCAGGUCCCCGAGGAGGUGCUCACAGGGCCAGGAAGAAGUGGAUCCUGUUGUAGAGGUGACCCGGCAGCCCGACGCGGCCAAAGUACUCCACCACCAUGGAGAGCAGGUACUGUGUGGAGACAGGGUCCAAUGGCGGGGCGGCCAGGGCUCGACGGAAGGGAGGGUGUGAGGGGGCCAGCUGUCCCGCCCCCACCCAGGACGGCCUUGCUGAGGGUCUCAUGGCCCUUUGAUGUGAUGGAGGAGAUGCCCAGGGCCAGGGCAGGGCACCAGCAGUGCAUCCUUCCUUCCUGUCUGGCACCAAGGGCAGGUCUCUCCAGGGCUUCUCUAGCCCAGGAAGACACCUUGUUCUCUGGACCUACCCCCAUGGGAUGGUGACACUACAGACUUCUCAGUCUCCAUUUUAGUGCUGCAGGUACCUUGUCAGACACUUUCAGGAAAAUGUCAGCUUCCAAGAAGCUCUGGAUAACAGGAUCCUCUGCAAAGGAACGGAGAAUUGAUGAGGGCCUUGGAGCAGAGAGCCUGGGGUGCGGGGCAUUUCACAGGGAAGAGGAAAGCUGGAGCCUUCUCCCAGUUCCUCUGUCUCAUGAAGCAGAGGCAGCUCCCUUUGCUCCAGGUGGGCCGGGAGCCCUAACAUCGGUGACAGCUGUGACAGCUGCUGCUCUUUGCGUUGGCACAGAUACAGACUUCAGUUCAGAGACAGCUUCCAAGGAGGUGGAAUUGGAGGUCAGGGGAGUGCUCUUCCGGGCAGCUGCAGGAACAAGACUCCACGUGAGCACGGACCUGGCCCCCAGGGAAGUCCCGAGUGCUUCCCUUUCAGCUCACCCUGAAGCCUGGACCCUGCCCCCUGAGGACAGGAUGACAAGUAUUCCUCAGCAGGAACUGACGCUCCGUGCAGGGCCACGGAAGCUGAGGGGUGCCUGAGGACACAUACCUGCCUUGACAUCCACCAGUUUCUUCCUCUUGUGGCCUCUUGUCCUCCUGGUUCUCUGCUUGGGGACAGCCUCUGGAGGCUCAGAACUGGAGGCCGGAGGGCUCCUAUUCCGAGGAGCUGCAGGGAGAGAGGACGGACCCUGUGUGAUCAUGGGAGGAACCCACCUGGGAAGUACUGGGUUCUUCCCUUCUCGGUCACCUUGAGGACUUUGCACGUGACAUCUGAAGGGAUAAGAGAAGAAUGACCAUCACCCCCUUUGCACUUGUCUAUAAAGGAGGGUAGGAAUUGAAUUAAUAUUUACCUCUCUUUGCCAGGCGCAAGCUGCUCUCCUGUGCCUCUUUCCAUGGAUUAAUCUGCCUGGGGGACGCCUCUGGAGACAGAUGUGAAAUUCUCUGGUCAUAGAUGUCUUUAAUAACUACAGGUGAACAAGAUAGUGACCUCCGGUCUCACCCUGGACACCUUUUCCCCUGCCCUGCAGGCACACACUCAGGGGAGUCAAGGGAGGAAGUGAUGCUGGAGCCAUGAUAACCUGUCACCUUCAUUCAUUCAGAAACAUGAAGGGUGAAUGGCCACACACACCUGCUUUCCCUGCCAUGCACUCCCUCUUCUGGCUCUGUUCCUGUUGGCUUGGAGCCGUCUCUGAGCAGCUGGUGUGGAGCUCGGAGGAAUCCUGUCUUCUCUGGGUACAAAAAAAGGGGAAGGAAACCAACUUGAUUCUCACCAGGCCAUUUCUUUUUGCUUCAUCUGCUUCUUGUGAAACCCAGUAAGAAUUAAAAUGGCAAUAAUAGUAGCUAACAGUUACUGACUGUUUAUUGAGCUUCUGAUAUUGAUAUUGAUCGAUCAGUGCAUGGAGAGUUACCUCGUUCAGUCUUUAUAAUGAUCUGUGAGGUGAGGCGUAUAACUUCCCUCGUUUGCAGUUAAGGAAGCAAUGCUGUGAUCUGUCUAAGGUUUGACCCCUGACUGUGGCUAGAGUUCUUUGGACUCAGGAUUAGAGCUCGUGUCUGAGCAGUGCCCAAGGGAAGAAUGGCUGGUGGCAGCGACACCACUAGUGUCCAGCGGGGUGACCUUCAUGCUUAUGGCAUCAGCUCUGCCUGAGGAUCCCUGUGAACCACCAGAAAGUCCUGGGCAACCAAGCCUGGCAGAAAGACGACCAGAGUGGCCCAUGUCUGUCUGAAACAGUCCUUGAAGCUGAUGGAGGCAGCGCCCCCCUCGAGAAGCCCAGUGUCGCUCGCCCCGUCUAAGGGCAGUGUUCCUCCCUCUUCUUGCUCUGCCCACAGUCCUCGUGGCUCCUGAGGCUCACGGGCGAGUUCUCCGGGAGUGGCUUUGCUCUCUCCUCCUUCCGCAGUAUUCGUUUUGUUCUCCUUCCACCCACAUCCCCUCCUGUUCUCUCUUCCCUUCAAACUUGAGACUGGUUUGUCUUCCUUCUGUGUCCCCAGUCAUUCAUCUGGAGAUUCACAGGUAACCCCUUCCACAUCCCUUGCGACUCCUUUGGGAAAACAUAGCUCAGGAUCCAAGACUCAGUCUGGUACAGAAAAGAGUGGCACCCACCCUGAGUGAACACCUUGAGGCAGUGUCAAGACCUCGGCCCUCACACUUACUCAAGACGCAGCCUCGCAACAGCAGGAAAUCGCCGACCGUGGCCAAGUGUUUGGGACCCAGUGGCGCCUGAGAUUCCGGAGCCUUUGCCAUGAGGCACUGAUGACGUCACACCAUUCCACCAGGAACUGCUCUUUGGUUUAUAAAGGCACUCAAGGAAAAGGCCAUGGGCCUCAAGGGGGAGAAAUGAGUGUCCAGCCCGAACACGCAGGCCACCUCCUCUUAUCCCAACAUUACCUCCACCUUGAACCUCAUCUUGUGUUUAAUCAAGUUGAUUAACGAUUCCAAAUGUAAGUGAUAUGUCCACCUAUCCAAAAAUGGAGAAAAUACAAAAUUAAAACUUGAUUAAUUUGUCAUUCAUAAUGAAGAGUUAUUAAUAUAA